UCGAGAAUCUUUCGCAAUGGGCGAAAGCCUGACGAAGCGACGCCGUGUGAGCGAUGAAGGCCUUCGGGUUGUAAAGCUCUUUCGCACGGGAACAAAGGUACAAGACGAAUAGUGUUGUAUUUUGAGGGUACUGUGUAAAGAAGCACCGGCUAACUCCGUGCCAGCAGCUGCGGUAAUACGGAGGGUGCAAGCAUUAAUCGGAAUGAUUGGGCGUAAAGGGCGCGUAGGCGGAUAGGGAAGUCAGUUGUGAAAUCCCGGGGCUCACCCUCGGAACUGCAAUUGAAACUUUCUGUCUGGAGGGAUGGCGGAGAAAACGGAAUUCCACGUGUAGCGGUGAAAUGCGUAGAUAUGUGGAGGAACACCUGUGGCGAAAGCGGUUUUCUAGCUUUUACCUGACGCU
This 400-nucleotide ribosomal RNA is filed under the name uncultured bacterium. Its description in RNAcentral is "bacterial SSU rRNA". It matches the Rfam family "Bacterial small subunit ribosomal RNA", at positions 355 to 747 of the family's 1533-position model. The record is from RNAcentral.